AGUGGGAUAGCUGGGUCAAAUGGUGGUUCCAUUCCAAGUUUUCUGAGGAAUCUCCAUACUGCUUUCCAUAAUGGUUGUUCCAAUUUGCAGUUCCACCGGCAAU
Molecule: microRNA precursor, 103 nt
Filed under: Marmota monax (woodchuck)
Lineage: Eukaryota; Metazoa; Chordata; Mammalia; Rodentia; Sciuridae
Source: RNAcentral